This 510-nucleotide ribosomal RNA is filed under the name Mycobacterium sp. E125. Its description in RNAcentral is "bacterial SSU rRNA". It matches the Rfam family "Bacterial small subunit ribosomal RNA", at positions 106 to 643 of the family's 1533-position model. Lineage: Bacteria; Bacillati; Actinomycetota; Actinomycetes; Mycobacteriales; Mycobacteriaceae. The record is from RNAcentral.
GUGAGUAACACGUGGGUGAUCUGCCCUGCACUUCGGGAUAAGCCUGGGAAACUGGGUCUAAUACCGGAUAUGACCAUGAGAUGCAUGUCUUGUGGUGGAAAGCUUUUGCGGUGUGGGAUGGGCCCGCGGCCUAUCAGCUUGUUGGUGGGGUUAAGGCCUACCAAGGCGACGACGGGUAGCCGGCCUGAGAGGGUGACCGGCCACACUGGGACUGAGAUACGGCCCAGACUCCUACGGGAGGCAGCAGUGGGGAAUAUUGCACAAUGGGCGCAAGCCUGAUGCAGCGACGCCGCGUGAGGGACGACGGCCUUCGGGUUGUAAACCUCUUUCAGCACAGACGAAGCGCAAGCAGAAGAAGGACCGGCCAACUACGUGCCAGCAGCCGCGGUAAUACCUAGGGUCCGAGCGUUGUCCGGAAUUACUGGGCGUAAAGAGCUCGUAGGUGGUUUGUCGCGUUGUCGUGAAACUCACAAGCUNAACUGUGGGCGUGCGGGCGAUACGGGCAGACUA